RNAcentral lists this ribosomal RNA (458 nucleotides) under uncultured bacterium. Its description in RNAcentral is "partial 16S ribosomal RNA". It matches the Rfam family "Bacterial small subunit ribosomal RNA", at positions 338 to 795 of the family's 1533-position model. The record is from RNAcentral.
CCUACGGGAGGCAGUAGUGAGGAAUAUUGGUCAAUGGGCGAGAGCCUGAACCAGCCAAGUCGCGUGAGGGAGUACUGCCCUAUGGGUUGUAAACCUCUUUUGUCGGGGAGCAAAAGCCGGACGUGUCCGGCUGUGAGAGUACCCGAAGAAAAAGCAUCGGCUAACUCCGUUCCAGCAGCCGCGGUAAUACGGAGGAUGCGAGCGUUAUCCGGAUUUAUUGGGUUUAAAGGGUGCGCAGGCGGAUUUUUAAGUCAGCGGUAAAAUCGCGGGGCUCAACCCCAUCCAGCCGUUGAAACUGGGGAUCUAGAGUGUGCGAGAGGUAUGCGGAAUGCGUGGUGUAGCGGUGAAAUGCAUAGAUAUCACGCAGAACCCCGAUUGCGAAGGCAGCAUACCGGUGCACAACUGACGCUCAGGCACGAAAGCGUGGGUAUCGAACAGGAUUAGAUACGCUGGUAGUC